Molecule: ribosomal RNA, 2415 nt
Filed under: Triticum aestivum (bread wheat)
Lineage: Eukaryota; Viridiplantae; Streptophyta; Magnoliopsida; Poales; Poaceae
Description: partial small subunit ribosomal RNA
Source: RNAcentral
AUGGAAAUACACUCUACCUCUCUGCUUCUUCUAAAUCUGAUUCAUCUGUUUUUGCGGAUCUCGGCUCGUGAAUUCCUCUCGCCAGGCUCCUCUCUCUCCGUAGAGGAUAGCUCUGACGUGCUCCAUUCACCAGAUGGUACUUUCACCUGCGGCUUCAACAAUAUUUCUGGGAGUGCCUUCGUUUUCUCUAUUUGGUUCUCCAACACAGCUCAUGAAAAGACUGUCGUCUGGAGUGCAAAUCAUCUCCACCCCGUGUACUCCUGGGGAUCCAUAGUCAUGCUAUAUGCGGAUGGCGGAAUGGUUGUAAAAGAUUACAAUGGCCAGGCCGUGUGGGAAACCAAUGUCAGCUCUUCAUCAAAAGCCGAACAAGUCCAGUUGUUGGACACCGGGAACCUCAUCAUGAAGGGCCAAGGUGAUAUCAUUUUGUGGCAAAGUUUUGAUUCUCCUACUGAUACAUUGCUGCCAAAUCAGAACAUUACUUCUGCUACAAAAUUGGUAUCUGCUAAUAGGUUACUUGUUCCUGGGCGCUACAGCUUCCAUUUUGAUGAUCAACAUUUACUCACACUGUUUUAUGAUCAGACGGAUAUCUCUUUUAUCUAUUGGCCAGAUCCUAAUAAGAAUAUCUGGGAAAAGCAAAGAAGCUCGUUUAAUACCACCACAAUUGGGGUCCUAGAUAGCUCAGGUUAUUUCCUUGGAAGUGACAAUUUAACAUUUAAGGCGACUGACUGGGGUCUCAAGGUUAUGAGGAGGCUAACAUUGAAUUAUGAUGGCAACCUUAGAUUAUACAGUCUAAAUAAGUCAGAUGGAAGAUGGUCGGUCACAUGGAUGGCAUAUCCUCGGACCUGCUCUAUACGUGGUCUCUGUGGUAUGAAUGGAAUAUGUGUGUAUACACCUAGGCCAGCUUGUGCAUGUGCCCCUGGACAUGAGAUCAUUGACCAAAGGGACCGGAGCAAAGGUUGCAGGCCAAAAUUCAAUCUCAGUUGUGAUGGGCAGGAGAUGUUUGUGAAGCUACACAACACUGACUUCCGAGGUAAUGAUCAAAGUAGCAGUACCUCAGUUUCAUUUCAUACAUGCAAGAAGAUAUGCUUGAACAACUGCAAUUGCAAAGGUUUCUCAUACUGGCAAGGAAGUGGAAGUUGCUUUCCGAAGUCGUCCCUUGUUGGUGGUGUAACCAGCCUGGGUUUGGGUCGUUCUAUCUAUCUCAAGCUUCCUAAGACACAGGUCUCAGAGUCCUCAAUUCCUCACUCACAACCUUUUGGUCAUAGAUAUGCUCCUAACUGUAGUGCAAAGAACAAAAUUUUCACUACAGAUUUUCUGGAUCAACCUAAGAGCAGUCAGAGUGGAUCACACCCACAGUACUUGUACUUGUAUGUAUUCUUGGCAGCGAUAUUUUGUGUAGAGGUAAUAUUUGUGGCAUUCGGAUGCUGGUUUGUGUUGAGAAGGGAGGGCAAGCAGUUAACAGGAGUAUGGCCAGCUGAGGUUGGCUAUGAAAUGAUAACUAACCAUUUCCGCAGAUACACUUACAAGGAGUUGCAGAGGGCAACUCGAAAGUUCAAGGACCAGAUUGGAUGCGGGGCAUCUGGUAUUGUAUACAAGGGGGUCUUGAAAGACAAGAGGGUAGUAGCGGUGAAAAGGUUGGCAGACAUAAACCAAGGCGAAGAAGAAUUCCAGCAUGAAUUGAGUGUGAUUGGAAAGAUUUACCAUAUGAAUCUGGUGAGGGUUUGGGGGUUCUGUUCUGAUGGUCCACACAGGAUAUUGGUCUUAGAGUACGUUGAGAAUGCUUCGUUGGAUAAAACCCUGUUUAGUAGCAAGGCCCCACAGAUCUUACUCGAAUGGAACCAAAGAUUUAAGGUUGCCCUAGGGGUGGCAAAAGGAUUGGCCUAUCUUCAUCAUGAGUGCUUGGAAUGGGUUAUCCAUUGUGACCUGAAGCCUGAGAAUAUACUGUUGGAUGAAAACUUGGAGCCAAAGAUCACCGACUUUGGCCUUGCAAAACUUUUGAACAGAGGUGGAUCCAAUAAAAAUGUAUCGAGGGUCCGUGGAACUAGAGGUUACAUAGCUCCUGAGUGGGUUUCUGGCCAUCCAAUAACAGCAAAGGUAGAUGUCUACAGCUUCGGAGUGGUUCUCCUAGAACUACUCAAGGGGGCUCGUGUUUCAGACUGGGCAUCAAAUGCCAACGAGGAAGUGGAGACAGUCCUUGGAAGGGUCGUUAGGAUGCUUACAGAAAAUCUGAUGCUGGAGCUGGAGGGCAGCCAACAGUUAUGGGUGGCUGACUUCAUUGACUUGAGGUUGAACAGCCAGUUCGAUAACUUGCAAGCGAGAAUGAUGGUCAAGCUGGCUGUUUCAUGCGUGGAAGAAGAUGGUAGAAAAAGGCCCACCAUGGAAAAUGUUGUGCAGAUGCUUCUAUCGGUUGCUUGA